UGGGGAAUNAUUNGCGCAAUGGGGGGAACCCUGACGCAGCCAUGCCGCGUGAAUGAAGAAGGCCUUAGGGUUGUAAAGUUCUUUCGGUAUUGAGGAAGGUUGAUGUGUUAAUAGCACAUCAAAUUGACGUUAAAUACAGAAGAAGCACCGGCUAACUCCGUGCCAGCAGCCGCGGUAAUACGGAGGGUGCGAGCGUUAAUCGGAAUAACUGGGCGUAAAGGGCACGCAGGCGGUUAUUUAAGUGAGGUGUGAAAGCCCUGGGCUUAACCUAGGAAUUGCAUUUCAGACUGGGUAACUAGAGUACUUUAGGGAGGGGUAGAAUUCCACGUGUAGCGGUGAAAUGCGUAGAGAUGUGGAGGAAUACCGAAGGCGAAGGCAGCCCCUUGGGAAUGUACUGACGCUCAUGUGCGAAAGCGUGGGGAGCAAACAGGAUUAGAUACCCUGGUAGUCCACGCUGUAAACGCUGUCGAUUUGGGGGUUGGGGUUUAACUUUGGCGCCCGUAGCUNACGUGAUAAAUCGACCGCCUGGGGAGUACGGCCGCAAGGUU
RNAcentral lists this ribosomal RNA (548 nucleotides) under uncultured bacterium. RNAcentral's name for it is "bacterial SSU rRNA". It matches the Rfam family "Bacterial small subunit ribosomal RNA", at positions 355 to 895 of the family's 1533-position model. The record is from RNAcentral.